RNAcentral lists this long non-coding RNA (1139 nucleotides) under Brassica rapa (field mustard). RNAcentral's name for it is "long non-coding RNA (BRAP_LNC004891)". The record is from RNAcentral. Lineage: Eukaryota; Viridiplantae; Streptophyta; Magnoliopsida; Brassicales; Brassicaceae.
GGAGAGUUCAUUUUGCCUAAUAGUCCAAAGUCCCUGUUUCGUUUGUUUCAAAAACCAAGGGCCAAGGCCGUUUAAAAUCAUAAGAAUAUCUAGUUGAGGAUCCAAAGUCCUUUACUCGGUCCCUCUAAUACUUUGUCACUUUGCAUAUAAAUCUUUUUUUUUUCAUUCUAAGGUUCUUUACUUUUUUGUGUUGGACAAAAUUCGCAACUGCGCCACCUAAGAUUGACGAACAAAAUUGUAUCUGUCCAUUUUCCGUGUCAACCCGUUUUCAUUCCUAUAAUUAUUUGUAUGGGCUCAUUUUGUUUGAAUGGUCAAGAAAAGAUAAUGAUACUAAAUGGACCUUGGGUCAUCCCGAGAGUACCUUCUAAAGCCAACCGUAUCUCCACUUAACGAAUUGAUACGAUUGAUCGGUGUGGAUUUGAAAGAUAUAAAAAAAUAUGGUUAAGUAUGGCAUGCGGCUCAGCUUGAAGAACCCAGGACUAGAACCUCAUCAUCAGCAUCAGGAGCAGUGCCGGUCUGAGAAAACUUUGGGCUGGAAGCAAAUAAUCAUUAUGGGCCUAUUAAUGUUUUUUUAAAAAUAUUAUAGUACAGGCUAUUUGAACCUCUCACCUUAUGUUACUAAAACAACAACGUUUUACCACCUAUGCUACUGACGCUUUAACCAAAAAACCGGCCGAUAUUUAGAUAUUGUAAAAUGGGCCGGAAGCACAUGCUUGUACCGCUUCCGCCCAGGGUCGGUACUGAUCAAGAGAGCCCAUUUUCUCUUCCUCUCGGAACAGUAAUUAGUACCUCAGAUGCUUCGUGGCUCCGCGACUCCCUAAAUGCAGGUCUAGGAUGGUGUCUCAUCCUCCGAUGAGGGGAUUGGGAAAAUCGGGGGUUUCAAAGAGGAUACAUCAUGUUAAAUCACCUUUCUUGGCUGAAGUGAUGGCAACAUGAGAAGCCGCCGCGGAAGCUAACUGUCUCUCCAUCCUAAACGUCUGGUUCCCAUUUGACUCUCAAGAGCUCACUAGAACUAUAAACUUAAAAUCAUAUUCAGCGGCGAAGCUUUUUAAAAUUCUCAUAGAUAUCGAGUUUCUAUCUUUAUUUUUUUCUUUCAUUGCUUUUUUGUUUAUCCAUAAAGAGUAGAAAUAGAAUUGUGU